Macrosteles quadrilineatus (aster leafhopper) is the source of this 875-nucleotide long non-coding RNA. RefSeq lists it as uncharacterized. The record is from RefSeq and is a predicted model, not a curated record. The transcript is spliced from 4 exons. Lineage: Eukaryota; Metazoa; Arthropoda; Insecta; Hemiptera; Cicadellidae.
UAUCUCGGUAACUAUUAUAAGGUAGAAAAAUAAUUAAAAUGUAAAGUAUAUUCUUCACCAGUCAACUCAACCUUUCUCGUUUACUUUGCACAAGAUGUUCUUGUUGCAAAGUAUGUUCUUGUUGUUGUUCUAUGUUACUUAUUUUACAUAAAAAGGUUUAAAGAAAGUGUGUUGUUUUAUUUACAAGUCCAAUUUCAUUUUCAGUUAACAUUUUUUUAAACUGUUCACACUGGUUUCUUCAUCACACAGGUAAGACAGUUAUCAUACUAUACAAUUACUUAUAAAAAGAAACUUUAUCUAUAAAGCUCACUAAUAAUAACCAAUGGUUACGGGAUAGAUUUCCUUCAUCGCAUAUAUAUUAAGGCUUAUAUACUAUCUGCUUUUGGUUAAAGUAUAUUUUAACGGUAGGCCUAUUGUAAUUGAUGCUGGUGAGUGUAUCUAAUUAAACCUUUUUUAAUUGUAGUGCGAGAAUUUCAACCUCCAAACUGGACUGUGCAACAUAAACUGAAAACCCCCUCAAAAGAUAAAGCUGUGGUCAAUCCUCAUUGGCUAGAAGGAUCAAAAGAGCCUGUACAACAAGAUGCCCUUGCACUGGUGAAAAAGCCUUCACCAGCCACAGAGGAGAAGAAGCCACAUAUCAAGAGACCCAUGAAUGCAUUCAUAGUCUGGGCCAAGGGCGAGAGACAGAAGAUUCUUAAGGCUAACCCCAACAUGCACAACUCUGUCAUAUCCAAAAUUCUUGGUGCUAGAUGGAAAGAGAUGUCUGACUAUGAGAAGCAACCGUUUUAUGAGGAACAGAAAAGAUUGAUGAGAGUUCACAUGGAACAGCAUCCGGACUACAGGUACAGACCUCGACACAAACGUUCUCACAUCAG